UUUAGAGAUACGUCUUUCAAAAAGUUAAAGUGGUGCCAGCAUAAGACAGUUACUUUGUUUUACGCUUUGAUUUUUAUUUUAUAAGAAAUUUGGUGACAGGCAAUGGUUAUUUGUGUUGUCUUAAUACAUUUAGUUAUAAUGUCAUUAGGGAUCCUUUUUUUAACUUUUGCUAAUCCUAUGUUGGUGACGUGAUGAUUAGAUUGCUCCUUUGUAUAUUGGGAUGCUCCUCUGAGGGUUUGGAAAUGAAGGUAGCUGUUCUUGAAAUCUAUUUUAUUUUCUUAUGUAACCACCCUUGAAUUGAAGAAAAAAUUGCAUAGAAAUGAUUGAGAAAAAAAUAUAUUAGGUCCAUGAGCUCCACCUUUCCAAACAC
This 370-nucleotide long non-coding RNA is filed under the name Mytilus galloprovincialis (Mediterranean mussel). The record is from RNAcentral. Lineage: Eukaryota; Metazoa; Mollusca; Bivalvia; Mytilida; Mytilidae.